Molecule: unclassified non-coding RNA, 1202 nt
Filed under: Leishmania donovani
Lineage: Eukaryota; Euglenozoa; Kinetoplastea; Trypanosomatida; Trypanosomatidae
Description: gene:LdHU3.27.3690(CDS-product:hypothetical_prote in_conserved)
Source: RNAcentral
UCGUGCACAGGCGCGUCUCAAGGAUUCUUGCAGCAACUUAACGCUUCGACGAGCGCUUUCUCGCGCUGCGAGGGAUCCCACCACGCCAUCCCACCACGGCAUCCCACCACGCCAUCCCACCACGGCAUCCCACCACGCCAUCCCACCACGCCAUCCCACCACGCCAUCCCACCACGCCAUCCCACCACGCCAUCCCACCACGCCAUCCCACCACGCCAUCCCACCACGCCAUCCCACCACGCCAUCCCACCACGUCCCCCCCCCCCCCCCCCCCCCCCCCCCCCCCCCCGACUUGCCCAUCCAUCCGUCAUCUCCGGCGCUCUCGAUGCCCACAAAGCGGCCGGCUGAGGCGCCUCUUCACCGCUCCGACGCCGACGCCCCGUCGUCGACGCAUCACACCCCUGGCACUGCUGUUGCCAGUGCCGGCGCCACCCCGACCGCGGCAGCAGCGGAGGCGGCGGCGCCGAAGGUGAUCAUGUCGAAGGCGCAGCGGCGUAAACUGAAGAAGCCACCGGUGGUGGUGACGGCCGAGAUGAAGGAGCGGGCGCGGGAGGAGACUCGGGAGCUGCGCAAGCACCUCCGCAUUCUCAAGUCCAACGGUGCCCGGCGGAAGGUGGCGAAGCUCCGUGAGAAGCGCCCGCGCGAGCACAACAUCAAUGAGGAAGCUGUGAACGCCUUCGACACGGACUUCCGCCCGCAUAAGAAGGGACGCCGCCUCGAGUAAGUGCGAGGGGAGGAGGAAGUCGGCGAAGGCCCGCCUCUCCGUGCCUUGCGCACAUGGGCUGCCUGUGGACGCAUACUUGCGCGCACGUGUGCGUGUGUGGCGUUCGACGCCCAUCACACUCAUCUCUAUUUUGUUCGUGUCUGGCGGACUGGGCAAGCCCGAGUAAUGCAGCUGCCUAACGGAGUUGUGUCAAGCCAACGAUCAACCACGAAUUUACACCCUCACGCACCGCGCAGUCGGUGGUGGACGUCGUCGGAGUCGUAGGGAGGGAUGCAGAAGAGCUGCGUGUUUCUCCCGUCGAUGCACACGCACGCGCACAUCACCAUCGAUGCCCCUCCCCCCUUGAUCACUCGCGAUGGCUCUCCGGAUGUGUGUAUGUGCAUGUCCAUGCCUACGUCAUACAGCGCGUUUGUGGGUAACACCACGCGUGUGUGCGCGCGGAUGUAUGAAUUUAUAGAUGCCACGCCCAUCCGCUCUG